RNAcentral lists this ribosomal RNA (260 nucleotides) under uncultured prokaryote. Its description in RNAcentral is "partial 16S ribosomal RNA". It matches the Rfam family "Bacterial small subunit ribosomal RNA", at positions 524 to 784 of the family's 1533-position model. The record is from RNAcentral.
UACGUAGGGGCAAGCGUUGUCCGGAAUUACUGGGCGUAAAGCGCACGCAGGCGGAAUUGUAAGUCCGUUGUAAAAUUCAGAGGCUCAACCUCUGUCUGUCGGCGGAUACUGCAAAUCUAGAGUAUGUGAGAGGGAAGUGGAAUUCCUGGUGUAGCGGUGAAAUGCGUAGAUAUCAGGAGGAACUCCGGUGGCGAAGGCGACUUCCUGGCACAAGACUGACGCUCAUGUGCGAAAGCUAGGGUAGCGAACGGGAUUAGAUA